This 148-nucleotide non-coding RNA is filed under the name Chlorocebus sabaeus (green monkey). Lineage: Eukaryota; Metazoa; Chordata; Mammalia; Primates; Cercopithecidae. The record is from Rfam by way of RNAcentral.
GCCAGGCAUGGUGGUGCACACCUGUAGUCCCAGCUACUUGGGAGGUUGAGGCAGGAAAAUCACUUGAGCCCAGGAGUUUGAGACUGCAGUGAGCUAUGUUUGCACCACUGCACUCCAGCCUGGGCAGCAGAGUGAGAUCCUGUCUCUU